Molecule: ribosomal RNA, 253 nt
Filed under: uncultured bacterium
Lineage: Bacteria
Description: partial 16S ribosomal RNA
Rfam family: Bacterial small subunit ribosomal RNA
Source: RNAcentral
UACGUAGGUGGCAAGCGUUGUCCGGAAUUAUUGGGCGUAAAGGGCGUGUAGGUGGAUUCUUAAGUCGUGUGUCUAAGUGCGGAGCUCAACUCCGUAUAGGCGCAGGAAACUGAGAAUCUUGAGUGCAGGAGAGGAAAGUGGAAUUCCCAGUGUAGCGGUGAAAUGCGUAGAUAUUGGGAGGAACACCAGUGGCGAAGGCGACUUUCUGGACUGUGUCUGACACUGAGGCGCGAAAGCUAGGGGAGCGAACGGG